UUUUGUGUUUUGCAGCUCUACUAUGACUCUUUAGGAAAACAAUACAGAUCCAAAAAACAAGUGCAGAGAUUAUUGAAAAGACAGAACGAUGCACUGGUCAACUUCGGAGCAAACUGAGACAGAAAGGUCUAUCUCAUAUGUAUGUAAUUCUUCAACAAUGGAGGCCACCAAUUUUCAUUUAGUUAUUUUUAUUUAGCAACACCGUGCGCUAUAUUUCUGGUUGUGUGUAUGCUGGGUAUAUUAUAAGGAGGGCAAAAUUAGAAAAUAUGUGACAAUUGUAUACUAAGGAAUUUGCUGGGUUCAAAUAAAAACUCCUCACAGUUCUUUGUUUUCUUUCGAAGUCAAAAACUCCUCACAGUUCCUUGUUUUCUGUCAAAGUCGAGAGAUUUAAGCAAUUGGACAAAAUCAAAAUACUCUGCCGUCAUUCUCGUCUGGCAUGAUUUCUCUUAUUCAAAAAGAAGCCAGAAGCACGAUUAAUAUGGGUUUGAAGGGGGAUCAGAAAAUUGUAAUCCAAUUUCAUUGGAGCACAUCUCCAUGGAUUUUAAAAAGGAGAAGGCUCAAGCAGAGAGGAUUUCAUUUCGAUGUACGCACAAAUAAAAUCCUGGAAAUUACUUUCUAGCUUUCCAAGAAGAACUAUGUGCGCAUUUGCAUUAGCCGAACAAAAACAUAACAAUACAACCCAAAACACAGAACCAAAAACCAAAUACAAAACUCAAAACGAAGAGACCAAAACAGAGAACUCCAUUCUCUGCCCAGAUGGGCGUGGAGGCUGAAAGGUAGUAUGAGAAGAGUGCAACCCUAAUACACCUUUAUAUAGGGUGAAAUAUCUGCUCAAGAGGUCUUGUUAAAUGACAAAUUUGCCCUACCAAUUUCUGUAAAUUUGCCGUUGUACCUAUUUACAAGAGGGAUUUGGGUUUUGGGUUUUGGGAUUUUGCACAGUGCAAGUGUCCACACUGAAGGAUGAAUACGCUCAACAGGUUGAGGACCCUCGCAUUGCGUUGUUCAAUAUUCACUAAACCCUCAUCGGAAUCACACUCCUCUUUGCAAAACCAGUUACUUUACAGACGACACUUUACCACCACCAGAACCACCACCUCAGAAAUCCCGGCGAAUUUCACCGCGAAUUACCUCAUAAAAUCAUGUGGGUUCUCACCGGAAGCUGCGGUUUCAGUCUCCAACAAGUUCAAACUGUCAUCCCAAGAGAGAGCAGACUCUGUUCUGGCGUUUCUGAGAACCCAUGGAGGACUCUCCGAAGCCCAGAUCUCAAAGCUUCUCAGGUCAUACCCAGGAUACCUUGCAGCGGCCUGUCCCGAAAAGACCCUUCUGCCCAAGAUUGAGUUUUACAGAUCCCUUGGAGUUUCAAAGGAGAACGUCGCCAGAACUGUGUCUUCAAAUCCACUGCUUUUGUCUGUUAGCUUGGAGAAUCGGAUCAUACCAACUUAUGAUUAUCUCAAGAGCUUUCGGCUUUCAAAGAAGAACAUUGCGUCGGUUUUCAAGAGCGGCGCUAGGAUAUUCUUGGAAGGUCACACCAAGAAUGUGGAGCCGAAUCUUGGGCUGUUGAAAGAGUUAGGUAUGUCCCAAGAAUGCAUUUCUAAGUUGCUAACUCAUUUUACUCAUUAUCUGAUGCUAAAGCAUCAGAGGUUUCGUCAAGUUGUGGAUGAUGUUAUGGAAGUGGGUUUUAGUAUGGAUAAGUACACAGCUUUCGGGACGGCAAUCCGAGCAUUUGGGGGGAAGGAUAGUAAGUUGAAAAUGAGUCAAUGUAGAGAAGUGUAUAUGACCAAGUGGGGUUGGACUGAGAAUGAUGUUCUGUCUGCGUUGAAGAAGCAUCCCCGGUGUAUGAUUCUGUCGGAGAAGAAGAUAGAGCAAGUAAUGGAUUUUAUAGUGAACAAGAUGGGAUUGGUGUCAGGGAGAACAAUGGCCAGAUACCCUCAGAUUUGGACUUGCAGUUUCGACAAGAAAGUGAUCCCGAGGUGUAUGGUUUUUAAAGUUUUGUUGCUGAGAGGAUUGGUGAAUGAAAACUGGAGUUUGGGUUAUGUCGUGAAUAUUAGUGAGGACAAGUUCUUGGAGAGGUUUGUAGUAAAGUACUUUGACCAAGUACCGCAAUUGAUGAGUGUGUAUCAAGGGAAAGUGGAUAUCCAGGAUCUGUAAUGGUUUGAAUUCGGUGAGAAGAGUAGCAUUAUAAGCUUUCACCCCAAACUUGUGAGGCAAGGUUGUUGGUGAAGAGAAUUGUAGGAAGCAGAUGUUCACAUUUUUAUGUCUUUUAGUGGAAACCUUCUAAUUUGAUUGAAGUUCACUAUCAGAAGCAACUGCAUCAUAGUCCGUUCAGUUGUUAAAGUUUUGGUCUUGAAAGAGGUUAAAACUCUUGGCACCCAUGUAUUGCAUCCAGUGUAAAAGCAAACUAGCAGCCUGCUUUUUGGCCCCAAAUCUUGUCAAUUGAAGCACCCCUUUG
Molecule: RNA transcript, 2449 nt
Organism: Rosa rugosa (rugosa rose)
Lineage: Eukaryota; Viridiplantae; Streptophyta; Magnoliopsida; Rosales; Rosaceae
Exons: 2
Source: RefSeq, a predicted model, not a curated record